AAAGAACUUGCUUCUCUUCCAUGUCAGUCAUGCACUUGCUCUUGACUUGGAGGCAAGCUAGUUCUGUUUUACUCAUGCCUCUACCCAUUGCUCUCAGCCUACCCGGAUUGUCUGGUCCUAAAAGUUGAGAGAGGUGAUCUUCUUCUGGAUUUGCUGACGUUGGUGGACCAUCAUUUCCAACCAGCUCAGCCGCCUUUCUCUACAUAAUAUGAAAU
Molecule: small RNA, 215 nt
Filed under: Arabidopsis thaliana (thale cress)
Lineage: Eukaryota; Viridiplantae; Streptophyta; Magnoliopsida; Brassicales; Brassicaceae
Description: ATSL093100
Source: RNAcentral